RNAcentral lists this ribosomal RNA (1364 nucleotides) under uncultured Kineosporiaceae bacterium. Its description in RNAcentral is "bacterial SSU rRNA". It matches the Rfam family "Bacterial small subunit ribosomal RNA". The record is from RNAcentral. Lineage: Bacteria; Bacillati; Actinomycetota; Actinomycetes; Kineosporiales; Kineosporiaceae.
GAGUUUGAUCCUGGCUCAGGACGAACGCUGGCGGCGUGCUUAACACAUGCAAGUCGAACGGUGAAGCCCUUCGGGGUGGAUCAGUGGCGAACGGGUGAGUAACACGUGAGCAAUCUGCCCCCGACUCUGGGAUAACUUCGGGAAACCGGAGCUAAUACCGGAUAUGACACACGAUCGCAUGGUCUGUGUGUGGAAAGAUUUAUCGGUUGGGGAUGAGCUCGCGGCCUAUCAGCUUGUUGGUGGGGUAAAGGCCUACCAAGGCGACGACGGGUAGCCGGCCUGAGAGGGCGACCGGCCACACUGGGACUGAGACACGGCCCAGACUCCUACGGGAGGCAGCAGUGGGGAAUAUUGCGCAAUGGGCGAAAGCCUGACGCAGCGACGCCGCGUGAGGGAUGAAGGCCUUCGGGUCGUAAACCUCUUUCAGCAGGGAAGAAGCGAAAGUGACGGUACCUGCAGAAGAAGCACCGGCUAACUACGUGCCAGCAGCCGCGGUAAUACGUAGGGUGCAAGCGUUGUCCGGAAUUAUUGGGCGUAAAGAGCUCGUAGGCGGUCUGUCGCGUCUGGUGUGAAAACUCAGGGCUUAACCCUGAGCUUGCAUCGGGUACGGGCAGACUAGAGUGUGCUAGGGGAGACUGGAAUUCCUGGUGUAGCGGUGAAAUGCGCAGAUAUCAGGAGGAACACCGGUGGCGAAGGCGGGUCUCUGGGGCAUAACUGACGCUGAGGAGCGAAAGCAUGGGGAGCGAACAGGAUUAGAUACCCUGGUAGUCCAUGCCGUAAACGUUGGGCGCUAGGUGUGGGGCUCAUUCCACGAGUUCCGUGCCGCAGCAAACGCAUUAAGCGCCCCGCCUGGGGAGUACGGCCGCAAGGCUAAAACUCAAAGGAAUUGACGGGGGCCCGCACAAGCGGCGGAGCAUGCGGAUUAAUUCGAUGCAACGCGAAGAACCUUACCAAGGCUUGACAUGGGGUGAAAACUCGCAGAGAUGCGGGGUCCGCAAGGGCGCCUCACAGGUGGUGCAUGGUUGUCGUCAGCUCGUGUCGUGAGAUGUUGGGUUAAGUCCCGCAACGAGCGCAACCCUCGUUCUAUGUUGCCAGCACGUUAUGGUGGGGACUCAUAGGAGACUGCCGGGGUCAACUCGGAGGAAGGUGGGGAUGACGUCAAGUCCUCAUGCCCCUUAUGUCUUGGGCUGCAAACAUGCUACAAUGGCCAGUACAAAGGGUUGCGAGACCGCAAGGUGGAGCGAAUCCCAAAAACCGGUCCCAGUUCGGAUCGCAGGCUGCAACUCGCCUGCGUGAAGCCGGAAUCGCUAGUAACCGUCGGUCAGCCACACGACGGUGAAUACGUUCCCGGGCCUUGCACACAC